GUUAGUGUGGCAUAGUGGUUUAAGUGUUGGACUAAGACUCUGGAGGCCAGGGUUCGAAUCCCAGCUUGGCCA
Molecule: non-coding RNA, 72 nt
Organism: Phrynosoma platyrhinos (Desert horned lizard)
Lineage: Eukaryota; Metazoa; Chordata; Lepidosauria; Squamata; Phrynosomatidae
Source: the annotation of a GenBank genome assembly